Molecule: ribosomal RNA, 508 nt
Filed under: uncultured bacterium
Lineage: Bacteria
Description: partial 16S ribosomal RNA
Rfam family: Bacterial small subunit ribosomal RNA
Source: RNAcentral
GACGAACGCUGGCGGCGUGCUUAACACAUGCAAGUCGAACGGGCCUUGUCCCCUUUUUUUUUGGGGGUGGGGUUAGUGGCGAACGGGUGAGUAACACGUGAGUAACCUGCCCCUCACUUCUGGAUAACCGCUUGAAAGGGUGGCUAAUACGGGGUGUUCUGGCCUGCUCGCAUGGGUGGGUUUGGAAAGAUUCGACCGGUUUUGGUUGUUUUGGUGGGGGAGGGGCUCGCGGCCUAUCAGCUUGUUGGUGGGGUGAUGGCCUGCCAAGGCUUUGACGGGUAGCCGGCCUGAGAGGGUGGGCGGGCACACUGGGACUGAGACACGGCCCAGACUCCUACGGGAGGCAGCAGUGGGGAAUAGUGCACAAUGGGCGCAAGCCUGAUGCAGCGACGCCGCGUGAGGGAUGGAGGCCUUCGGGUUGUGAACCUCUUUCGCCAGUGAAGAAGGUACUGCUCUUUGUGGUGGGGUUGACGGUAGCUGGGUUAAUGAAGCGCCGGCUAACUACGUG